RNAcentral lists this transfer RNA (69 nucleotides) under Alepocephalus longiceps. RNAcentral's name for it is "tRNA-Cys". It matches the Rfam family "tRNA". From Rfam's summary of the family: Transfer RNA (tRNA) molecules are approximately 80 nucleotides in length. Their secondary structure includes four short double-helical elements and three loops (D, anti-codon, and T loops). Further hydrogen bonds mediate the characteristic L-shaped molecular structure. tRNAs have two regions of fundamental functional importance: the anti-codon, which is responsible for specific mRNA codon recognition, and the 3' end, to which the tRNAs corresponding amino acid is attached (by aminoacyl-tRNA synthetases). tRNAs cope with the degeneracy of the genetic code in two manners: having more than one tRNA (with a specific anti-codon) for a particular amino acid; and 'wobble' base-pairing, i.e. permitting non-standard base-pairing at the 3rd anti-codon position. Lineage: Eukaryota; Metazoa; Chordata; Actinopteri; Alepocephaliformes; Alepocephalidae. The record is from RNAcentral.
AAGCCCCGUGGUGAAGACCACGUCAGAUUGCAAAUCUGAAGAUGCCGGCUAAUAAGCCUGCCGGGGCUU